GAGUUUGAUUAUGGCUCAGGAUGAACGCUGGCGGCGUGCCUAACACAUGCAAGUCGAACGAAGAAUUUUUUGGAAGUUUUCGGAUGGAAGAAAAAUUACUUAGUGGCGGGCGGGUGAGUAACGCGUAAGUAAUCAACCUACAACACACGAAUAACUAAGAGAAAUCUUAGCUAAUACGAGAUGAAGUAAGUAUAUCGGGAGAUAUAAAUAUGAAAGCUGAGGCGGUUGUAGACGAGCUUGCGUCUGAUUAGCUAGUUGGCAGGGUAAGAGCCUACCAAGGCGACGAUCAGUAGCCGGCCUGAGAGGGUGAACGGCCACAUUGGAACUGAGAGACGGUCCAAACUCCUACGGGAGGCAGCAGUGGGGGAUAUUGCACAAUGGGCGAAAGCCUGAUGCAGCGACGCCGCGUGAGCGAAGAAGGCUUUCGAGUCGUAAAGCUCUGUCGUAUGGGAAGAAAAAAAUGACA
RNAcentral lists this ribosomal RNA (466 nucleotides) under Peptostreptococcaceae bacterium canine oral taxon 047. Its description in RNAcentral is "bacterial SSU rRNA". It matches the Rfam family "Bacterial small subunit ribosomal RNA", at positions 9 to 459 of the family's 1533-position model. Lineage: Bacteria; Bacillati; Bacillota; Clostridia; Peptostreptococcales; Peptostreptococcaceae. The record is from RNAcentral.